Molecule: non-coding RNA, 438 nt
Filed under: Pongo abelii (Sumatran orangutan)
Lineage: Eukaryota; Metazoa; Chordata; Mammalia; Primates; Hominidae
Source: RNAcentral
CGUCGAGGCCGCCAGCCCCUCCCCCAGCAUGUUUGGGCUAAGCCGCCUCCUUUCCGCCUGCGUUGGAGAGGUACCAGAAGGAAUGAAAGGACUGGGGCUUGUCUCCAUGGCAACUGAAAGAAAGAGAGAAAAGUUGGUCACCUCCAGGACUGAGACCCUGACCCCUUCCAAGCAUCCCCACUACCAAAGGCUGCCCAAGCCCGGAAGGAUCCCAUCCUGUUCUGUAUUCUGAGGUCACUUCCUCACUCCGUCAAAUUUCACUGGACUGUGGGCUUAUUAAAAGUGCCUCCCUAUUAGCGGGGCGUGGUGGCCCAUGCCUAUAAUCCCAGCUACUUGGGAAGCAGAGGCAGGAAAAUCGCUUGAACCCGGGUGGCGGAGGUUGCAGUGACCCAACAUUGUGCAACAAGAGCGAAACUCCGUCUCAAAAAAAAUAAAAAA